GUUGUCGUCAGCUCGUGCCGUGAGAUGUUGGGUUAAGUCCCGCAACGAGCGCAACCCUUAUCCCCAGUUGCCAUCAGGUAAAGCUGGGAACUCUGGGGAGACUGCCGGUGAUAAACCGGAGGAAGGCGGGGAUGACGUCAAGUCCUCAUGGCCCUUACAUCCCGGGCUACACACGUGCUACAAUGGCAGGUACAGAGGGCUGCGAAGCCGCGAGGUGGAGCGAAUCCCAGAAAACCUGUCUCAGUCCGGAUUGAAGUCUGCAACUCGACUUCAUGAAGGCGGAAUCGCUAGUAACCGCGAAUCAGCAGGUCGCGGUGAAUACGUUCCCGGGCCUU
RNAcentral lists this ribosomal RNA (335 nucleotides) under uncultured Latescibacterota bacterium. RNAcentral describes it as "bacterial SSU rRNA". It matches the Rfam family "Bacterial small subunit ribosomal RNA", at positions 1048 to 1382 of the family's 1533-position model. Lineage: Bacteria; Pseudomonadati; Candidatus Latescibacterota. The record is from RNAcentral.